AGCGGCGGACGGGUGAGUAACGCGUGGGUAACCUGCCCUGUACACACGGAUAACAUACCGAAAGGUAUGCUAAUACGGGAUAACAUAAGAGAGUCGCAUGGCUAUCUUAUCAAAGCUUUUGCGGUACAGGAUGGACCCGCGUCUGAUUAGCUAGUUGGUAAGGUAACGGCUUACCAAGGCGACGAUUAGUAGCCGACCUGAGAGGGUGAUCGGCCACAUUGGAACUGAGACACGGUCCAAACUCCUACGGGAGGCAGCAGUGGGGAAUAUUGCACAAUGGGCGAAAGCCUGAUGCAGCAACGCCGCGUGAGCGAUGAAGGCCUUCGGGUCGUAAAGCUCUGUCCUCAAGGAAGAUAAUGACGGUACUUGAGGAGGAAGCCCCGGCUAACUACGUGCCAGCAGCCGCGGUAAUACGUAGGGGGCUAGCGUUGUCCGGAAUUACUGGGCGUAAAGGGUGCGUAGGCGGUCUUUCAAGUCAGAAGUGAAAGGCUACGGCUCAACCGUAGUAAGCUUUUGAAACUGUAAGACUUGAGUGCAGGAGAGGAGAGUGGAAUCCCUAGUGUAGCGGUGAAAUGCGUAGAUAUUAGGAGGAACACCAGUUGCG
This 604-nucleotide ribosomal RNA is filed under the name uncultured Clostridium sp. RNAcentral describes it as "bacterial SSU rRNA". It matches the Rfam family "Bacterial small subunit ribosomal RNA", at positions 94 to 717 of the family's 1533-position model. Lineage: Bacteria; Bacillati; Bacillota; Clostridia; Eubacteriales; Clostridiaceae. The record is from RNAcentral.